RNAcentral lists this ribosomal RNA (1072 nucleotides) under Monothalamids sp. RNAcentral describes it as "SSU rRNA". It matches the Rfam family "Eukaryotic small subunit ribosomal RNA", at positions 1160 to 1828 of the family's 1831-position model. The record is from RNAcentral. Lineage: Eukaryota; Foraminifera.
AAGGGCACCACAAGAACGCGUGGAGCAUGUGGCUUAAUUUGACUCAACGCGGGAAAUCUUACCGGGUCCGGACACACUGAGGAUUGACAGGCAAAAUUAUUUAUAUGCCUAAUUUUUUUUAGGUAUUUUAUAUGCAAAUAUGCUAGUCCUUUCAUGAUUAUGUGAUAGGUGGUGCAUGGCCGUUCUUAGUUCGUGGAGUGAUCUGUCUGCUUAAUUGCGUUUCACCAAGGGCUUAUAAAAAACGUACGUUGCGCCGUUUCGAUCCCGCUUUUUAUUAAGUGUGUGGUCUUAGCGUUUUGCGCGUACAAAUAGGCCCUGAAAGCAACGAACGUGACCGCAACCUCUUGUUGCCUUUAUUCCAAAUAGCAUUGUUUGGCGAGGGAUUUAUUCAGCGCUUUACUUUGCUAAAAAAGAGGCUUAAAAACUAGAGGGACCGCUGUAUCUUCUUUAAACCAGAGGAAGGUUGCGGCAAUAACAGGUCUGUGAUGCCCUUAGAUGUUCCGGGCUGCACACGUGCUACAAUGAUUAUUGCAGUGAGCAUCUCAAAUACACACGGCUUGCGCAGACGGUUUAUUCGUUUUUUAUUAAGCGUUUAAUCUCGUUUUUGCGCGCCGUAAAGCCUGCUUCGAAAGUAAGUAGGUAAUCAAUUAGAAGUAAUGAUUUCCCAGCUUUUUAAAGUAUAGCACGCUUAUAUGCGGCGUUUGUACCCUUGUUCUGGCCUCGAGUCGGUUCAUGCGUGUUACUUAACGUUAAUUUUUUCUUAAAAUUAUUCGCAUGUGCUUUUGUCAAUUCAAGGUGGGGACAGACCAUUGUUAAUUGUUGGUCUCGGUUCAACUAGGAAUGCCUUGUACAGGUCUUUGGUUCAACAAACCACCUGGAAUACGUCCCUGCCCUUUGUACACACCGCCCGUCGCUCUUACCGAUGGACUUCUCUGUGAGUUUGAGGGACUGGGUUAAUUUGUUUUUUCUUCGGGAAAAAUGAAGACACCUAUGGAAACUUAAACGAACAGUGUGGUCUAAAGGAAAGAGAAGUCGUAACAAGGCAUCGGUAGGUGAACCUGCAGAAGGAUCA